UGGUGCUCAUCUCCAUUUCUAAGCCGAAGAGCCGGUAUUGUCCAUAGACACCUCCAAGGUCAUGUGGCCGGCAUGACUGCAUGGAGGAGGCUACCGGUAUUCUAGAUUCCCAUUUAAUACUGAUGGGUUCAUCCCGGAAACGGGGAAAAAACAUUCUAGGCCAGGAUGAUACAGGAGAAGUACAGUUAACUUUCGAUAUCCUCAGAUUCUGCAUCCAUGGAUUUAACCAUCCAUGGCUUGAAAAUAUUUUGAAAAACCUUGAUUUUGCCAUUUUAUUUGAUGGAAUCAGUUUUACUACACCAAUGCAUAUAAUGGGACUUGGCAUCCACUGUUUUUGGUAUUCACAGUGAAUUCUGAAACCAAAUCUCAGCUGAUACCAAGGUCCCAUUACAACAGGCAGUGUGGCCCUUGAUUUUUCGAAAACUGUUCAAUAUAGGCUGCAUUUCAAUGGUGGACUAUACCUUUUGCCAAGCGGAAAUAGUGAAGAACCCCAUGACUGCCAGAAAGUUUUAAGAGAGUAGAUUUUCUUGUCUCAUAAUCAGGAUUAUACUAUCCCUUUCUUUCUUUUUACAUCACAGGAAAUGUAUCUGCUAUAUAUUUUUUCCUGAAAACAAAGACAGCUUUCAUACUCCAAUUGCUCUUUGAGCUGAUGAAGCUUUUGCCAAGGGUCUGAAACACCUUGAAGGCUCACAACAACAAACCUAAUUAACUUGACUAUCUCAGCAGCCAAAAGCAGACCCAGACUUCCCACUGAAAUACUGAAAUACUGGAGACAGAAAGAAUAGCCCCAUCUGAAGAUGAUAAGCAGUGAAUUUGGAACUUUGCCCAUACAAAGAAUGUGUUCUACUACCAAGCAACCUAUGGAGACCCGACCUUCCAGGAUCAAACUCCCUGGAAAUCCAUUGCCUUUUACUGCUGACGAAGGAGUCUCCACAUUUCUCAGAUUCUGCAGACGUGUUCCUUGGAAACUCUGGAGAAAUAAUCACAAAGGUCUGUUCUUCGCACUCAGACUAUAUCCUGACUAUUCCAAAGAUAUCUGGCCAUUCCAGUAAUACCAGCCAGAGCCGCCCAGAACUACUUCCUUCUCUCAGGCAGUCUAUCUUCCAUCCUACUUUUUUCAAACAUAUCCUUAAAGAAUGAAUCAUAUCCUGGAAAGGUCCAAGUAGCCUUCCACAGCCUCUUCACCUAGAUGUUAAACUAACAAUUUACUGCAUUAAAAAAGUGUCAUACCUAAUACAUCAUGUGUGAUAGCACUACAUGGGAGCAGCUUCUCAUUUGUGCACACCCAUGUCUUAAAACUAUUUUCAAGUCAAUUGGGUUCAGAUAUCACAGUGUGGGAAGUAUUUAUUUAUGGAAAUCUUUGAUGCUUAGAAGUCAUGUCACAGACAUGUGUUAUGGGUAGGAGUCACCUUGAAUAUAUUUUGUAAAGGAUUACUAUUAUAGCAGCAAGCCCCACAAAAAGGAAGCAGUUACUGUUACAGUAGAGCCCCGGUUAACUGAGCUCCGGUUAACUGAGCCUCCGUAUCAUCCGAGGCACCGCUGGGGGCGUCCCUCCCUCUCCCUCUCCUUCUCUCGAGCGAAGGGAGCAUGCGAGAAGGAGAGGGAGAAGGAGGAGCAAGCACCCCGGAAGUGCCCUGCCUCUUCCUCUCCUUCUCUUGAGCAAAGGGAGCUUGCGAGAAGGAGGGGGAGGAGGAAGCAUCCAGCAAACACUGCUGCAUCAGCGCUCGUGGGCUGCUUCCCUGGGCUGAGCCCUUGCCCCUUGGGAAGCACCCUGGGCUGCUUCCUCAGGUGCGAGGGCUUGCCGAGGAACGUCUCCCCGGAUCUCCCUUGGCCAGGCCCUUCCUGGACGAAGAAGCUUCCUUCAGCAAUGGCCUGGCCGAGGAAAACCCGCGGCAUGCUCAUUGUUUCUCAGAGGGACAGGAGCGUGCUGCGGGUUUUCCUCAGGCAGGCCAUUACUGGAGGAAACUGUUUCCUCCAUCAAGGGCCUGGCUGUCACACACCAGGGCAACGGAGCACCAAGAACCAAACACGGAGGCCAAUAAAACUAUCUAAUAUCUUUAUUAAGGAAAUAUAUAAGAAGAAUAAAAGCAAGUAGAGAAUAUAGUCCAGAAACAGACUUUUCAAAUGAGGCCUAAAAUAGUCCAGGAAUAGUUUGUCCAAUAAAUGAUAUUAGAGUUCAAAGGUAAAAUCCAAUAACCGAAACACACACUAUUGCCAGGCAAUAGUGUGGGGAAUUGUCCAAAGUCUUUCAAGGCACAAGGUAAAUCCACAAGAAGGCUGGGAAUAAGGCUUGGAUCUAGGAAACAAGGUCCGUGGUUCAAAACAAGGCAAGGUAGUCCAAAAACUUGAUUCUAAGAACAAAAUCCGUGGCUGAGAGCAAAGCAAGGCAAUUCUUGGAUACUCGAACAGGCGAGGCAAGGAAACUGGAUUGCGGACUUAGCAAAGUCCACACUAGGCUGGAAACAUGGAAUUCACUCCCGAAGCUGAGCUGUUGUCUCCGCAAAGGAUCAACAGAGCCCGAUACUUUUAUCUGGGUCUCGUUUCCCGCCAAACGGCGUCCAGCGUUCUCUUUCCCUAGAGAACAGGGAACGAAACCCAACUUGCAGGUGUGAGACUCUCUGGAUUUUCCCAGGGGAAACAUGGCUAAUCAGUGUCUUGCUUGGCAGCAAUUCGGGCACUCCUGCGAAUUCUCUCUUUCACUCCCCUAUCUGCCGAGAAGGAUUGCUUUCUAGCGAAGGGAGGUGAGCGUUGGUCAAGGUCAGUUUUAAUUGGUUCUUGGACAAGAACAUCAGGCAUCUGGAAAGACUCUGGCUGUUGAUCCGGAGAAAACCCCAUGUUUUCAUCCUCAUCUACCACAGUGACACUAGGCACAGGAUUACAAGGCCCAUGAGGCAUCACACUGGCCGAGGGAGAUCUGGGGAAUACAUGAUCUUGGAGUCCUCGUGGACAACAAGUUAAACAUGAGCCUACAAUGUGAUGCGGCAGCUAAAAAAGCCAAUGGGAUUUUGGCCUGCAUCAAUAGGGGAAUAACGUCUAGAUCCAGGGAAGUCAUGCUCCCCCUCUAUUCUGCCUUGGUCAGACCACACCUGGAAUACUGUGUCCAGUUUUGGGCACCGCAGAUGAAGGGAGAUGCUGACAAGCUGGAAAGCGUCCAGAGGAGGGCAACUAAAAUGAUUAAGGGUCUGGAGAACAAGCCCUAUGAGGAGAGGCUUAAAGAGCUGGGCAUGUUUAGCCUGCAGAAGAGAAGGCUGAGAGGAGACAUGAUAGCCAUGUACAAAUAUGUGAGGGGAAGUCAUAGGGAGGAGGGAGCAAGCUUAUUUUCUGCUGCCCUGCAGACUAGGACACGGAACAAUGGCUUCAAACUACAGGAAAGGAGAUUCCACCUGAACAUCAGGAAGAACUUCCUCACUGUGAGGGCUGUUCGGCAGUGGAACUCUCUCCCCCGGGCCGUGGUGGAGGCUCCUUCUUUGGAGGCUUUUAAGCAGAGGCUGGAUGGCCAUCUGUCGGGGGUGCUUUGAAUGCGAUUUCCUGCUUCUUAGCGGGGGGUUGGACUAGAUGGCCCUUGAGGUCUCUUCCAACUCUACUAUUCUAUGAUUCUAUGAUUCUAUGUAUUUUAAAAACCCAAAACAGGUGAUCAAGGCCGUCAAAAAUAGAGCCACAGACACACAGGUGGCUAAAUGAGAGCACAAAUGGAAAACAAUUACAAUUAGAACUCUCUGAAACCAUUUCUUUUUUCUGAUCUUUAUGAUGUUAAACAGAGCUGGAAUUUAUAGUUGGGUGAGGAGAGAGAAUAAGAAAUCUGCUUGUGUGUACAUUGAUAUAUUUGCGUGAGUGCAUAUACGAUCCAGCGUAUCUUGGAGAGAAUUAAAAAAACAAAACUUCUGCCAGAUAUCCCCUAUUCAUCUUGCGGACUUGUAAAAUCUGCUACAAAGGAAAGUGUCAGGAUGGCAGGGGACCAUUUACCGGGACUGACAGGUUUGUGUCUGGACUUGCUGUCAGGUCCCAUGUUUUUUAAACCCACUUAUUUAAUCCAAAUUUAGUUUAUGUCUGGAAGUGCCCUAAUAUACUCCCAAGUUGUUUCACAAGAGCUUUUUGUCAGUGAAUUCCAAGUACGUCAUGAAAUUACAGACAGAGCUGCAGUGGCGCAAUAGGUUAAACUCUUUUACCAGCUGAACCGCUGGUCAGCAGUUCAAAUCCGCAAGAUGGGGUGAGCUUCCAUCUAUCAGCCCCAGCUUCCCAUGCGGGGACAUGAGAGAAGCUUCCCACAGGAUGGUAACACAUCCGGGCGUCCCCUGGGCAACAUCUUUGUAGACAGCCAAUUCUCUCACACCAGAAGCGACUUGCAGCAUUUUCUCAAUUUGUUUCUGACAUGAUAAAAAAAAUGAAACCACACAUCCCAGGAUUCCAUAGGUCAGAGCAAUAAUAAUUAAAGUUCUAUCAAGCUGAUAUAAUCGUGCAUUGUAGAAGUGUUAAAAGGAAACAUUAAAAAUAAAUACACAAAGAGAGGAGAGAUUUUUGUAAUACCCAUAGGAUUAGUAAUGCUUCAGUAUGUUGCUAUUUAUGAGAAAUUUCUCUCUCUCUCUCUCACCCUUUCUUGUCUAUUUUAAAUUUUGAUUUCAGCUUAAAACAGGAAGGAGCUGGAAAGAUUGAUCUCUAAAUAUUCCUUCCCUAAGAAAUCCGAUGAGAUUCACAUGUCACCAUAGAUUGACAACAACUUGAAGUCACAAAAACCAGGAAGCAGAGGAGGUUGCACAAUAACAUUUUCAUGUGAUUUUCCUGUUGGGAAAGAUGCCAAUAAUGUUUCAGUUGGAAGGGGAUAGGAGGGAUGAGAAUGAAAGCUCUCCUGUCAAGACUCCUGUAGGUUUUACUGUCUUUAAGCCUUUUGGGAUCUGCUCUUCAAAAUACGGACAUGUGUACUGGUGGAGAAGCCGACAUGGAUGGUCUGAUAAAGAAAUAUCUAGCUGAACGAGAUUGUGUCUAUUUCACUUUUAUUGUUAGCUUCUCAGAGUGCUCUAUUUUAGAAGACAGGGCGGAGGCCAAAGCUUUCCAUCAAUUAAAAUAAUCACUUGGAAGCUGGAUGUGAUUCUACUGUGGAAUUCAGCAACCUGGCCCAAAGUGCAAUUGCAAAUAUUUGCUGCUUGAAAAUAAACCUGAUACCUACUGUUUAAUAGGUAACUUAACAUUUCUCCACAGCCAGGUAUAAAAAGCCUUUCAGAUCUGCAAGGACAGUUAAUUUUUUCUCUUUUAACUUCCAGAGAUUAACAUGGCCAGCAAAAUUGUGUAAAAUCAACAUUUUGUGAAUUCUGAACAGCAUAAAGAGGCAACUCAACCUUUGCAGAAAUUAGGGUAGUGGGAAAGGACAGUGUUUUCUUGCUUUCUUUUUUUGUACAGGAGAUAUAUAAAUCUACAGAGCUACAACUCUAAGCAUAUCUACAGUACCUGAGAUCAUGCAUCCACACUGUAGAAUGAAUGCAGUUUGACACCACUUUGACUUCUAUAGCUCAAUGCUAUAGAAUCUUGGGAGCUGUACGUUGGUGAGACACCAGUACUCUUGGGCACAGAAUGCUAAAUACUUUGUAAAAUUGCAUUGAGAUGUAGCAGUUAAAGUGGUAUCAAACUGCAUUUAUGUAGAUCAGGCAUAGGCAAACUUUGGCCCCUCACGUGUUUUGGACUUCAACUUCCACAAUUCCUAACGGCCGGUAAGCUGGAUGGGAUUUUGGGGAGUUGAAGUCCAGAACACUUGGAGGGCCAAAGUCUGCCCAUGCCUGAUGUAGAUGCAUCCUCUGUCAGGAAAGCUAAGCUUGCCUGAGGCAUAUAUAUACUGAAUUACUUGUGUAAAACAUUCUGAGUGGCAGAGAGUAUGCUUCAGUUGAAACUUCAUAGGUUUUAGGAAUAGGAAUGAUCAGUCAUUGGGUGACCCCCCACCCCCACCUCCACCCCCACACACAACCACCAGUCUAGUGUUUGUGUUUUUCUAUGCCUGGGCUGAUUUCCAAGCCAGGCAUUGAAAAAGCUAGAAACCUGACUCAGCCUUUCUCCCACUCUCAUCUCAAAUAGCAGUACAGUGAUAGUGCUGACAUGUCCAGAGAUCAUUACACUGAUUUCUGUUAUUCCCCAACAUUAUCAAGAGAUAAGCUAUGUUGUCUACUAGCAUAACUUCUUGGUUAUGGGAGCAGGUGCCUGACUGGGCUUUGUCUUGGUCGAAAUUCCCCUUCCUGACAAGUAACAGUAUCAAUCUCAUAGGAAGCAGAUGAGUUGCCUUGUUUCUAUUUGGAUGCUCUUUCUUCCUCCCACUACCUGUACUCUCAUCCCAGUCAUGGUUUCUUAGGUAUGGUGAUCCUUGAACUGUAAAAGCGCAAUGUAACCAUGGAAGGCAAACUAUGUUGUGUGAUACAUCCCAACCAAAGACACUAUUAUUCUGCCGUAACUAUGAUUUACCACCUUUGUGUGAUAAAGUCCUAAACAUCCCCUCCCUGCUGUUCCUGAAGGGGAUGAACAGCCACACAGUGUGUGCAUCAAUACUGCAUUGAUAAGAGUAUGAUGGAUGGUUCUUCUACUCAGCAGAUGGUGAGAGCAUUGUACCAAAAAGGUAAAGGGAGAGGUCCCUGAAUCAAAUAUUUAGAGCUUAUACCCUGAACAUAAUUAUCACAUACUCUAAGGAUUCAGAAAGACUGCUUUAGCAAACCUUCUUGGAAAAUAAAGCUGUGAAUAUGCAAGUUUCAAAUCAGUCCCCUUAUUGGUGAAGGGGAAUGUGUGUGUGUGUGUGGGGGGGGGGAGUAAUUUCCAACUCUCCUGAUUGUUGUAAGGCACAGCAAGUAGUUUACAAAUAAAAAGUGGCAAAUUAAAAUGAUUGAUAAGGAUGAUAAUCUGACAGAAAGUGGGACACAUUGAUGUCUCAUUUACUGCAAGAUGCAGAAUGAUUUCAGAGCAGAUCUUUUUGUCAUCAGCAUGAAGAUAAAUUGCCUCUG
Molecule: long non-coding RNA, 6968 nt
Organism: Anolis carolinensis (green anole)
Lineage: Eukaryota; Metazoa; Chordata; Lepidosauria; Squamata; Anolidae
Exons: 3
Source: RefSeq, a predicted model, not a curated record